Molecule: small nucleolar RNA, 209 nt
Organism: Suncus etruscus (white-toothed pygmy shrew)
Lineage: Eukaryota; Metazoa; Chordata; Mammalia; Eulipotyphla; Soricidae
Product: small nucleolar RNA U3
Exons: 1
Source: RefSeq, a predicted model, not a curated record
AAGACUAUACAUUCAGGAAUCAUUUCUAUAGUAUGUAAAUAGAGAAGUUUCUCUGGUUGCGUAGAGCACUCAAAACUACGAGGAGGAGCCAGAGCAUCCUCUCCUGAGCAUGAAGCCGACUCUAGGUGUUGCUUCUGCGACUGACUUUUGCCAUUGAUGAUCAUACUUCUUUUGGAAGGGGCAGAAGGAGAUAAUGCAGUCUGAGUGGU